CCUACGGGAGGCAGCAGUGGGGAAUAUUGCACAAUGGGGGAAACCCUGAUGCAGCGACGCCGCGUGAAGGAAGAAGUAUUUCGGUAUGUAAACUUCUAUCAGCAGGGAAGAAAAUGACGGUACCUGACUAAGAAGGCCCGGCUAACUACGUGCCAGAAGCCGCCGUAAUACGUAGGGGGCAAGCGGUAUCCGGAAUUACUGGGUGUAAAGGGAGCGUAGGCGGUUUAGCAAGUCAGACGUGAAAGCCCGGGGCUCAACACCGGGACUGCAUUUGAAACUGGUGAACUAGAGUGCAGGAGAGGUAAGUGGAAUUCCAGGUGUAGCGGUGAAAUGCGUAGAUAUUAGGAGGAACACCAGUGGCGAAGGCGACUUACUGGACUGUAAAUGACGCUGAGGCUCGAAAGCGUGGGGAGCAAACAGGAUUAGAUACCCGAGUAGUC
This 440-nucleotide ribosomal RNA is filed under the name uncultured bacterium. RNAcentral's name for it is "partial 16S ribosomal RNA". It matches the Rfam family "Bacterial small subunit ribosomal RNA", at positions 338 to 795 of the family's 1533-position model. The record is from RNAcentral.